Molecule: small RNA, 140 nt
Filed under: Desulfosporosinus sp.
Lineage: Bacteria; Bacillati; Bacillota; Clostridia; Eubacteriales; Desulfitobacteriaceae
Description: c-di-AMP sequence
Rfam family: c-di-AMP riboswitch aptamer (ydaO/yuaA leader)
About the family: This family represents a conserved RNA structure found upstream of the ydaO and yuaA genes in Bacillus subtilis and related genes in other bacteria. The ydaO/yuaA element is thought to act as a genetic "off" switch for the ydaO and yuaA genes in its native state. It is believed that the element may be triggered during osmotic shock leading to activation of ydaO, a predicted amino acid transporter gene, and members of the yuaA-yubG operon which code for KtrA and KtrB K+ transporters.
Source: RNAcentral
ACAUUUAAAAAGCUGAAUUCAAUCUAUGUAUUGGAACGGGGGAUUAUUUUGGGGUGAAUCACGCGCUUUUUCGCGUGUAGGGCUUACACCUUCGGCCCGAAUCCGUCAACUAACCUCGUAAGCUUAUGAAAGGUGGACAA